UGUUCUAUCUGUAUAAAUUAUAAGGUGUUUUCAGGAUACUUUAAGAAAUAGCUGCUGACUGGCUCAAAAAUAAACACAAGAAUUGUUCUGUUGGAAAGAUAGCUUUUGCAAAAAAACCUGUGUUAGACAAUAUCUACAUGACCAGUGAGCUAACCUAGUAUUUUUCAUUGACAUGUCAUCUCCACAUUCUUCAUCUUUCCACUAACUUUUCACUGUCUUUUUUUUUUUCCCUCCAGGAAAAGAGCAGGAAUUUAACCUAGUCUGCUAUGGAGGAAAAAUAAAGAAGUUGUCCAAAAUAUAAUUUUCUAAAAUACAUUACUGAAAACAGAAAUGGAAAAUAGAAAAGUGGGGAAGAGAUAGAGCCAUUUAAAAAGUCAGAGAGAAAAAAAAGGAGUGAUAGAAUGGCUUACAAGACUUAGGCUCAGAGGUCCCUGCUCCAGGCUAGAGCAGCCAGUGGAAGCACCAGCACCAGAGAUGAUGGAGUCAAAAUGACUGCUUUGCUGCUGCUGUAUGUACCUUGGAGCUGGAUUUUUCUAUGAAGUCUGUAGAAGCUUGUUACCAUGUUAAAUGCCCAGCUUUCAUGAAGUCCACACCUGAAGGAUGUCUUCUAAUGCUCCUACAGCUUCCUUCAGUGUUUGCUCAGGUUAUUGGUGUUUGAAUUAAUUCCUCUCAAAUGAGCCUGAUUUAGUAGCCAAAAGCUCUGGGGACUGCUUGGCAGCA
This is a long non-coding RNA of Serinus canaria (Common canary), 720 nucleotides long. RefSeq lists it as uncharacterized. The transcript is spliced from 4 exons. Lineage: Eukaryota; Metazoa; Chordata; Aves; Passeriformes; Fringillidae. The record is from RefSeq and is a predicted model, not a curated record.